Pseudophryne corroboree (corroboree frog) is the source of this 512-nucleotide long non-coding RNA. RefSeq lists it as uncharacterized. The transcript is spliced from 3 exons. Lineage: Eukaryota; Metazoa; Chordata; Amphibia; Anura; Myobatrachidae. The record is from RefSeq and is a predicted model, not a curated record.
AGGUAUUGACAACUUUAUCACUCCUGCAACAAUCUCUCACUGCUGCAACUUUACAUCCUUACAUGCUUUUUGAAUUUAGUGAACUACAACAUAGUUGGAUGAAUAUGAAGGCCAAAUACCGUGGUUAAAUAGAUGCACAGACCAUCACUGCCUUAUGGGUAUGCUUGUCUAAGACCAGAGACACCUCAGGGAAGCUAGAAUCGCUACCAAUGCAAUAGGCUCACAACAUCUACAAUCUGUGACAGGCAUUUAGUGAUACUUUCCCUUGACAGUGAUGAAAAUAAGAUAAAGUGACAGGACGCUGUGCACAGAUGAAACCAUGGGAAACACACCAUAUGAAACAAUACUGGCUAAAGAGGCAAUUUCCUUUGUAUCCUGUUUGUGCCAGUACUGGGAGAUAUUACUGGUACCAGCAGAGUGAAAAUGCAAUAUGUACAGGUAGCUACAAGACUGCUUAUAGAGUUAUGAAAAAUAGAUGGUUUCUGUGUAAAAUAUAGCUUAUUAAUUUUCUU